RNAcentral lists this ribosomal RNA (471 nucleotides) under Klebsiella pneumoniae. RNAcentral's name for it is "bacterial SSU rRNA". It matches the Rfam family "Bacterial small subunit ribosomal RNA", at positions 1 to 470 of the family's 1533-position model. Lineage: Bacteria; Pseudomonadati; Pseudomonadota; Gammaproteobacteria; Enterobacterales; Enterobacteriaceae. The record is from RNAcentral.
AAAUUGAAGAGUUUGAUCAUGGCUCAGAUUGAACGCUGGCGGCAGGCCUAACACAUGCAAGUCGAGCGGUAGCACAGAGAGCUUGCUCUCGGGUGACGAGCGGCGGACGGGUGAGUAAUGUCUGGGAAACUGCCUGAUGGAGGGGGAUAACUACUGGAAACGGUAGCUAAUACCGCAUAAUGUCGCAAGACCAAAGUGGGGGACCUUCGGGCCUCAUGCCAUCAGAUGUGCCCAGAUGGGAUUAGCUAGUAGGUGGGGUAACGGCUCACCUAGGCGACGAUCGCUAGCUGGUCUGAGAGGAUGACCAGCCACACUGGAACUGAGACACGGUCCAGACUCCUACGGGAGGCAGCAGUGGGGAAUAUUGCACAAUGGGCGCAAGCCUGAUGCAGCCAUGCCGCGUGUGUGAAGAAGGCCUUCGGGUUGUAAAGCACUUUCAGCGGGGAGGAAGGCGAUAAGGUUAAUAACCUU